This 255-nucleotide ribosomal RNA is filed under the name uncultured bacterium. RNAcentral describes it as "partial 16S ribosomal RNA". It matches the Rfam family "Bacterial small subunit ribosomal RNA", at positions 524 to 776 of the family's 1533-position model. The record is from RNAcentral.
UACGAGUGCCCCCAAGCGUUAUCCGGAAUCAUUGGGCGUAAAGGGUGUGUAGGCGGUUGUGUUAGUCUUCUGUUAAAACUUCGGGCUUAACCCGAAGCUUGCAGUGGAAACGGCACGACUCGAGGAUGCGAGAGGUGAAUGGAACUCAUGGAGUAGGGGUGAAAUCCGUUGAUAUCAUGGGGAACACCAAAAAGCGAAGGCAAUUCACUAGCGCAUUUCUGACGCUGAGACACGAAAGCGUGGGUAGCGAACGGG